GACGAACGCUGGCGGCGUGCUUAACACAUGCAAGUCGAACGAUGAAGCCUUAGCUUGCUUUGGUGGUUUAGUGGCGAACGGGUGAGUAACACGUGAGCAACGUGCCCAGGACUCUGGAAUAACCUCGGGAAACCGUGGCUAAUACCGGAUAGGUGCCGAGGCCGCAUGGUCUUCGGUUGGAAAGUUUUUGCGGUUCUGGAUCGGCUCGCGGCAUAUCAGCUUGUUGGUGGGGUAAUGGCCUACCAAGGCGACGACGGGUAGCCGGCCUGAGAGGGUGACCGGCCACACUGGGACUGAGACACGGCCCAGACUCCUACGGGAGGCAGCAGUGGGGAAUAUUGCACAAUGGGCGCAAGCCUGAUGCAGCAACGCCGCGUGCGGGAUGACGGCCUUCGGGUUGUAAACCUCUUUUAGUAGGGAAGAAGCGCAAGUGACGGUAACUGCAGAAGAAGCACCGGCUAACUACGUG
Molecule: ribosomal RNA, 469 nt
Filed under: uncultured bacterium
Lineage: Bacteria
Description: partial 16S ribosomal RNA
Rfam family: Bacterial small subunit ribosomal RNA
Source: RNAcentral